GGGCUUAUUUGGCAACAGCUGUUGCUUGCCAGUGUGCUCUCUCUCUCUCUCGUUCAUCUUGCAAGCAUUCUUGUCCUUUUUUCCCCUUUGGGCUCCUUUCUUCUUUCAUUUUAAUGACCUCUGUGAUUUAAGAGAAUUGGUCAUGAGAAGAAUUUGGUGGAGGACACAGAAACUUUCUUUCCAGUACCCAUAUGUGGCAGUGUGCUGGGAAACCUUCUGAAACCCUUCAGCCCUGUCAGAAGGUAGAGAUUUGUAAAGCACCAAGGAGCACUGUGCUUCUCUUCUUUGUCUUCCUCCACCCUGUGCGUGCAUGGGAUCACUGGUACGAAGAAGCCUGUGGAACUGGAGCAUAACACAGAAAUAUAGGACAAGCUGAGAAGAACCAACUGAAAGGAAAAAUCUUCAAGUUUGUGGCUAUCAGAGCAAAACGCAAAAGAAAAUUCACCUGUUUGCACCUUUUGGAAUAAAAAAUUUGAAGUAUACAUGUACAAGGAAGGACUUGGAGUAGACGUCUUGAGUAAAGCAUCAUCUUGGAAGGUGUAUCUGCAAGCAUAGAAAGAAGAGCCUUUUUAUAUUUCCCAGAUAGCCCUGGCCUCUAUAAGAAUCUGGGUAGGGAAUAGAAACCGUAUUGUGUAAUACCAGUGACCAGCCACACAGCAUAUUUGAAUCCUGAACAAAAAUGCUUGGAGAUGUUGUUACCAUUCAGCAACCCGCAGGCAAAAAAAUUAUUUUAUUGAACCUCUUCAACACAUGGUUAUCAGAAAAGACUGUAAGAAAUGUUAUCCUUUUGUGGACAGAAGUAUCAAGUACAACAAAUUACACUUACUGAAUACUUCAGUUACUAUCCUUGGCAGUGGAUUUGCUUUAACUCCAGGAGAGCAUUACAAAUGAAAUCUUUAGAAGAUACGUGAACCAAUUGUGCAAUACUGAACUUUUUGUUCCUCAGGCCAUAGUCCUGCUCCCAGUCUCAGAUACACUGUGCCUAUCAAGAGAUGCAUUCUGUUAAGAAAACAGAAAAUGUGAGCAGUUCCUCACUACAGAAGGCAGCAUAGCAGCUAAGAUAUUCAGGAUGAAACCACCAUGAGACAACUGCAGUUCCAGCAGGAUUUGGCUCAAGGAUUAUGUGGGAAGUCUUUCCUCUGCCAGACCAGUGAUGAAAAAGAGACAGAAGGUGAGGGGGACACAGGCUCCAAGUUGUGAAUCACCCCUCGUGCUGGCCAAAGAGCCUGCAGACAGAAAUAGGAGGGAAGUGACCACUGAGGCUGAGCUCUGCAACCUUACUUCUCCCAGUACCCACUUGGAAGAACUGUGCUUUGUUUCCUUAUCUGAAAUUUGCCUUUUUAUACAGCAUUUGCCAUUAUUAAUUGGAGCACCUCCCUCCUGCAUCUUAAUCAAACAGUGCUGGCGAAGAAGAAUCAUUACUAUGAGCAGUGUUGGACAUGUGCUGGCCAAUUCAAGCCAUGAAUUGCUUGCCUCAGGCCUGGCAGGAGGAAAAUACCACCAGGUAAAAGAUGGCAGCAAACACAUUAUAAUUGGUGCUACAGCAAAAAUCAAGAGGUGAAAAACAGCUGCGAAACAGUUCGAAGUCAAAACUGCACACAUCCAGAGGUGCCCCACAUCUUAGGGUGUGCUUUCCACCCCGUUUCCUGAUCCCUAGAGAAACAACUGCGGAAAGCGGGAGCCUUUGCAGCAAGCCUGACCCUGUGUCGCAAGAGACAGAGCCACCUGCGUGUGCGUGUGUCACUGUGCCCGUGUCCAAGGCAAACAGCUGCUUCCUGGAGUGCCGGCCGGCGGGGAAUGCCGCGUGCCCCAGCCCGGGAGCGGAGAGCGGGGAGCGCUGCGGGGAGCGCUGGCCGUGCCCUGCUGGGAUGCGGGGAGCGCUGGCCGUGCCCGGCCGGGAUGCGGGGAGCGCUGGCCGUGCCCGGCCGGGAUGCGGGGAGCGCUGGCCGUGCCGGGCCGGGAUGCGGGGAGCGCUGGCCGUGCCCUGCUGGGAUGCGGGGAGCGCUGGCCGUGCCCGGCCGGGAUGCGGGGAGCGCUGGCCGUGCCCGGCCGGGAUGCGGGCGCUCUCCGGGGCUCGGCGCUGCAGAGGGCUCCGUCCUGCGCUCCACGGAAGCGGGGGAAGGGACGGGUUUUCCCCGGAAACUUAUCUGUCUGGCAGAUACCAAGCCCGGCAUCCGUGUGUUCUGGGAAGUUCCGAUAGACGCGUCGCACCACUGAAUCAUGCCCUGGGCUCCGCAGCUGCUUGGCUCGGGGUGGGUUUGACCGGCAGUCCUGCGUGAGCCUACUGGAAAAGUUCAAAGGGUAUUUUCUCUGUUCUUCCCCCUUCCACUACUCCUGCCAAGGCAGCAAACCUCUGCUUCCUUUCUCAGAAACUAGCUAAAGCUUUGUGCCACUUAGCCAACAUGAAGGAAAAAAAAAAAGAAAAUAAAAAAUAAGUCAAAUAUAACGGUUAAUAUAUUUUAAAAAUGGCUUUUCUCUAGAGAAAUAUGUUGCAGAUUGGAUGACAGUCAUGUUUCUUUCCUUUUCCUGUUUCUCUCCCUCUUAGCCAUGCACAUAUAUUUUUUUCUGUGGUAGGGUUCCCAUCCCUGAUGUUUUGGGCAAAUUCCAUCAGACAUUGCUGUACUGGGGCUGGGCUAGGACAGCAGGCAGCAGGCCAGCAUUCUGGGAUAGAAGUAUUCCCCCUGUAUGGAGAAGGAGGACAGAGGGACAACAUGCCUCUCUACUUUUCUUGUCAGCAUAUGGUGGUUUAGAUAAUGAUAAGGCACGCUGAGGAGGAGUGUAUGCCUUUUAAUCUAAGCUCAUCAGCAUGGUGUGUGUGAAAUACUGGCUUUAGUGAGCUACGCUGGCUCUGGAUGGAGGGGAGAAGAUUUUUCAGCACUUCUGUUUUUCCUCAGUUCACCCAGCCUGGCUCCCUGCAGGAAAACUUAUUUAAAGGUGGAUUUAUGAACCAAGAUGCCACCCCUUUCUUGCAAAGCUCAGUAGCUGCUUGAUUGCUUUUUAGCGUGAGAGUUCAGAAAAACAUUCUUAAACCAUGAUGUCUCCAGAGGUUUGUGGUAAGAAAACAAUGUUAAUUUGCCCAGUCUAGAAGCAGAAAGAUUAAAAAAGAGUAAAGUACACUGUGUUCUUUGUUCCAAUUACCUGAAAUUAGUGUCUUUGUUGGAGAUAAGUGCCAUAAAUGGCUUUAACAUUUUCAGGUUUUUCUCUCAUUUUGGAGCAGUGCUGUAUUGCUGCACCACACAGCACAAUCCACCUAUUAACACUUUUUAAUGGGCAGUGACUCUACUGUAUUGCAUUAGCUGUGCCUCCAUUAUUUGAGUUCCAAAGGAGAGUGUGUCAUAAUAAGCUUCUAGAAAAGUUCAAGACAGCUGCCUGUGUCAUGGAAAAAUAAGACUUGAUUAACAGAGGAUGUAGGAAGCCAAAGUAAAUACUAGAAAUGUGUAAAGCAGUUAUGGUGGUGUAGAUUAGUACAUAUGAAGGGAUGUGUAAAUCGGAGUGCUUGACAUGAUUGAUUCGUAUGUCAAAAGGGAAGCCAUUGUGUUAUUUUUUUUUUAGUUGGAAAGCCCUGCUGGCAGCGUUGGAGCACUCAAUUAAAAAUCUCAAAUAUUGUGAAGAGUUGGGCCUGUGUUGCCAUUUUUCCUGAAUUUCAAAUGUGGAAGGACAAGUAACAAGAGAGGAAAUGCUAAAUUUUGAAGACUGUGCCCAACAGCAAAAAACACUGGUGUGUACAUGCAGCACCUCUUUGUUUAACCCCGUAUCUCAUGUUUAAAAAUUAUCCCACCAUGAGAGGUAAAUGUGAUGGUAGCUGGGUGACAGGACCAUCUAGAAGGCAGGAGGAGAGCUUUGUGAGCCUAUGAGUCUUGCAAAGCCUUUCAGAUGUUCUCACCUCUCUCACACAUUGCAGGCAAGUGGGCGAAAAGCUGCAAGUUACUUAAAUCAGUCACUGUGACACAUCCAGUUAGCUUGGUUAUGAAGAGAGCAUGAAUUAUGAUAUUCUACUCUGUCAUUUAAAGAUAAAUGUUUUAUGGCACAAAUCCCAUUAUUAUGUGUACAUUCUUAAAAGAAAGAUUGUGUUUUGUUUUGGGUCUUUUAGUUUGCUUGGUUGGGGUUAUUUGGUGGGGUAUUUUGUUGGUAGUGGGAUUUUUUUACAGCAAUUUUAAGACUGCUAGUCUUGCUAGGAGGUAGGUCCAAGUUGUGGUUAAAUCCUGCAGACGACAGUCUUGCUGAUCUCAGGAUUUUCCAAAUAUUAAAAUACAUGUCUGGAUUUCUCAAAACCCCACAAAACUUUAAGAACAUUAGACCUGUUUCACCUUUCCCUAGAUAACUAAGACUGCCAUAAACUGCUUGAGUGUCCUGGUCCUAGCAAGAUUUCUUGUAAUAGGAAGUCUCUUGAAUACCUCUUAGUGGCUUAUUAGCAACUUCAGGUAUUAUAUUUUAGCAAACAAAAUCAAAGUUUAUCCCCUAGAUUUUGCUUAACUACAAUAAAUUAUUUAUAAGGUGCAGCCCUAUGUCAUGUAGAUGCUUUUUCCAGUCAUGUUGUUUUAUAAAAAAUGUCAUGUGGGGGGGUUCUGUAUGGAGAUGUGUAUGAAGUAGGAGCAAAGAAAAAUAAAUCUCCCAGUAAACCCUGUCACUCUUGUGACUAUGAUCACUGUGCCAUCCCCAGCACUGCUUCCUACAGGAGCCUGAGGCCGAGGCUGGAGGUUGGUACACGCAGGCUGCAUGGCUCUGGAUGUGGGCUGGUCUAGAUGAGAAUUACUUUUAGCAGAAUCAAAUGGAAGUCCUUAUCUAGAGAUAAGCCUGAAGUGCUCAUGCACUAUUAAGUUCCUGGCAACGUCUUUACAAGGCAUAUAUUUACACUCAGGAUUUGUACAUACAUUUACACUUGGGGUUUGCAGAUAUAGUUACAGUGAGACAAAUAUCCUUAUUUAAACAAGAUGACAGGAAAAGUGCAGAAUAAGUGCAAGAAUCAUAAAAGAACAGAAUAAGUGUCCAUGUGCCUUCUUGAGUGAGGUUUGGAGGGUUUCAGUGUGUGCAUGUGUCUUUUUCUUUAUUUACUUAAAAUGUUUUAAGUUUCUCAAGUGGUAACUGCAAGCCUUGGGCAGCAGAAAUACACUUACUGAAGUGUGUUUGUCCUGCAUUAGGACAGCUGGCUGGCCCCAUGGCAAGCCAUUAUUUUAUUUUCAGGUGAAGCUUCUGGCUUUGGCCCACCCUGGCAUUUUGUUUAUCCUCUGUAGAAAUCUGUCUUUUUUGGCAGCAUAGGUCAUUAGUUUUCCUCUUGUGGUUUCAGCUUUUCUUCUUGCUUUUCACUUGGGAUUUUUCUUCUUCUAGUGGUUCUUCUCUUUUCAGCAAGCAGUUUCUGCAGAUCUGCAGGUGAAUUCUAGUAAUUCUGUAUAAACCCCUUCCUUUUAUUAAAUCAAUCCUGUAUUUUUCAGUCCUCAUUCUUAAGAUGAACAUCACAGAGUUGUGGUUUGUGAAGGGUUUUGGUUGAUUGCUUAUUGGGUUUGUUGGAGCAGGGAGGAGAAGAGAGAGAUGGAGGGAAUCACAUCUUCCAGGGAAGGUGCUGUUACUAAUUAUGCCUUGGAGAUUAUUACUUCAUGGUUCAGAUAUAAUUAGUACUUGAUCAAACUCCUAUGUGCUAUUUAGGACAAAAGAAAGCCUCUCUUUCUGUAUGACCCAAAAAGCCAGCUGUUACUUCAAACAUUUGUUUGUAGGGGUUCAGGGAACAGCAAUUCUGUAAUUCUUAUGAGUCCUAACAGCCCCUGAACCCCUUCCAACAGCUGCCAUGCCUGCAGCCCUCUUCUUGCCAAAACUUUACCACGUAUGGCAAUACAGAGAAGCAAAGGAGUUCUUUUAGGACACAUCUUAGUGCUGGAUUCUGGCUGUCUUUUGAGAACUCCUUAGAAAUGUAUGUUGUAGGACAGGAUUUUUAACCUUGUCCAUGUCUUGUCCAUGUCAAGUUGGCAAAAGCUGGAUGUAGAGGGUAAUGCAGCACAAAUCAUGAAGGUAAUGGGACUGUGACUUCAGAGGCAGAGAAGUUCUUGAAGAAUGAUAAGAGGACCCGUGUCUGACUUAAAUUAUUUUCUUUGUUCCUCUAAUGCUCAUAUUUCACCACUUCACAUCCAGUGCAGGGAGCAAUACCAGGUGCCUUCUGGUGACAAGAAGUGUGUGUUCUGUGAGCUGGUCAGAUGAUAAAAGUGUUGAGUCAAAAUCCACUGAAUUGGUAAGGCUCAUUCCCAAAUCUUCAGAGGGCUGCAGAUCCCCAACAGAAUCUGGGCUGGAGUUUAGGCAGCCUAUACCCAAUCUGCAUUCCUCUAUCCUCACAUGGCUGCUGACUGGAUGACUUGGUGUUACCAAGCUAGCUGCAGCUCCUGCCCUUGAGCAUGCCCAGAGGCAUGUCAGCCUCAGCAGAACUGAGCAGCUCCGUGCCAGGUCUGUCCCCCAGCAGCAGACACAGCUCUUCCACACUGCAUCUGCAAAAAGGCUGUUGUAGACUACUGCCUUUGUUUGAACUACUGCAGGGGUGCUGCUGCAGUUGCUGCAGCUCCUGUUCUCCUUACCCCACCACCCAGGGUAAGGAUGCUUCCCUGCACCCAGCCUGGUCCUCUCAUAUGGGCUCUUCUUUCAUCUGACAGAUUCAAAGAAGCUCUCACAUUCUCUGGGGCAUGUCUGACCUUCCAGGGUUGGAUAUAACUGUUUUGCAGUGCGUGCAAUCUGGAUUUGUAAAAAUGGAAGGAUUAAUCAAGAAUCUAUGAAGUGCAGUGAGCAAGGUAUGUGUGUGAAAGGUGGAAGAGCAGGAUUCCACUGCUUCUGCCAGAAAUCAUCCUGUGGCUUAUGCCUACUUUUCAUGAAAGAUAUAAACAGACUUUGGGGUGACAUUACUUCCUAAAGGCUCUGGAGAAGUCUGUGUGUCCCAGUGGCAUUGUAUACAGGAAAUGUACAGGAAGAAUGGCAUUUGCACUCCCUUCCCCAGUGUGAUGCUUCAGAAGGACAUUUCAAGGUCCACAGAGAAUUUGGCUUCCAAUUCAUUGUUAGGUAAAUUAUAGCCAUGUGGAGAAAGCUGUUUCAUGUGUUUCAGGGCUGCGUUUCACAGUGGGGAUCAAUGUGCUCUUUCCCAAGGGUUCAGGAGGCAUGGGCCAAACCCAUGGACACGGAACACCUUGUACCUCACUAAAAUGGUGAUAGUAAUUCUCAGUUUACAUAGCUCAUGGGAAGGCCUCACAUACCACUGGAAAGUUGCUGCUGGUACUUAUUUCUUCGCUCUCUGAUUUUGUACAGUCUGGUAGAAGAGAUGAAGCAUAACAAAUUCUUGGUUGUUAGAGGCCAGAAAUAUUUGGUUGCUUGUGCUUUACCACCAGUUUCAGUAACACAAGUCACUUUAUUUGGAGGAGAAUAAGGUUUGUGCCUAUUAGCUGCUGCCAUUUGUGCACAUGAGACUGAUGUCAGCCAUCGACUUCACAUCAACAGCUAUGACAUAUAUACACCUUCUUAAAAAGCACAGUUUGAAGUGGUCAUUUAAGCUCUAUUUAUAUUCUUUAUUUCAAAUAUUAAGGCCACCAUAAUGCUGUAUUUAUUACUUCAGAGAAUUACAGAUCACACCACAGAGUGUUUUAUAAAUUAUUUCUCUUCAAUGUAGCCUUAUAUUGUCAGGACAAUUGCUUCUACAGUCCUACUUCCAGUCCUUCCACCUUAGUCUAUGUCCAAGUUGUGCUGAAAUUGCUGAGAUUCUUCUUUAUUAAGAUUAUUAUCAGAUCCCACACUGCCUCUGCUGCAAGAACAAGACAUUAAAACAGACAAUUUAUUAAAAGAUCCUUAAUUCUGUCCCCUUUGCAUUGUCCUUAUCCAUUAGUCAUGGACCUAAUGACCAGACACACAGUAUGUAGGCAAUGUACGUGUAUUUAUGGUAUCCUUUUAAAGGCAUUUCUUCCUCCUGGGAGAAGAGAAUCGAGAGAAGCUGCUGUUCGCCAGGAUAUAAGUGGGAUCACAGCAAAAAAUCAAAAAACUCCCUCUUACCCUUGCUUGCUCAGUGCCCAACUCACACCAGGCAUCAGCCAAGCAGACCAGGCCUGCCUCUCUGCUCACAAGAGUUUAUUGCUGUACAUUUAUCAGCUCCCUACAGCAGCACUGAAUGCACACACACCCCAUUUAUUUCAAUAUGACGAGGCAGGAAACCCUUUCUUCCCAUGCGUGCAUAGGCAGCUGUCUUCUCCUUUGCCAUAAAUUGUGCUUUGGAUUCAAGACUUGCUGACAAAAGGGGCACUAUUCACAUGGGCUCUGACUUGUAAAUGAUUUCUGCACUUGAGUAGUGUUUACAUCCCAGACUGGGGAUGUUGGAGAAGGCUUCAGGCAGUCCAUGAGCCAGAUGCAGUUUCCUGGGGUGCAAUGCUGGGUGCAAUGCUGGAGUCAAGUAGCAGAGCCACAGCAGUCAGCAUGCAACACCUGAGGGGAGCUCUUGCCCAGAGGAGAAUGUGCUGGUAAACAGAAACCACAGCCAGACCCAGCUUACUGUCUAGUGCACUAGUUCUUUGCUUUUUGUGGAGAGAUUAUUGAUUUCAGACUGCAGUGUCAAGAGACAGCAAUGGUCUGUACAAGUGACCUCAUAAGUCAUAAACCAUGUGCAAUUACACAGGCAGUACUAAACUACUACAGUAGAUUAAACAGUGUUUGUUAGUUGUUGUUAUUACUUCUCCCAAGAGCUUAGUGCUAUUGCUGCCUGUAGGCUGUGAUUUACAGUAGUGUAAUCACCUGAAAAUACUGGGUUUGUUAAGCUUCUCAGGUAAUACAAAAAACCGUCAAGCAAUACUUACAGAUACCAAAUAGACUUAAAAUGUUUUUCUUGCCUGAAAAUGUAUUAUUUUAUUAUGUUCCACCCAUCCACUCGCCAAGCGACAAAGUGGUCUUUCAUUGGGGAACACUUACUAAAAAAAAAGAAUUAUGAAGGAAUUUCUUGACUUGUAAUAUUACUGGUAUGACCAUUAUAGUGUGACUGAAUGUUCAGUAACAAUACAGAUACCACUUGACUCUUGUUUAAAUGAGCACUAAGUCAGGGUUUUCCUCCUGAAACCUGACAUCAAGUCUGUGAAACUCUCCUUUCUUGAAGUGAUCCAGGAAGAAAAACUAUGUGCCAUUUGAGAAUGUAAGCCACAUGCAUUGUUAGAGAUUAUAAGAGACCUUAAAAUCCAUUGGUUAGUUUUCUCGUAAUAAAUUGUUAUUGCAUUAAUUUGUUAAAGAUUACCUAGCCCUUCAGGAAAACUAUUGUAAUCAUGAUUUUCAAGCUUUUUUUCUUAACAGGGUGGACUUGGAAAAACCUUUUUAAGCUUAUACUGGUUAAUUUUCAGCUUGAUAUUUCAUACUAGUAUAAAGCCCUCCCCUUUGCUUACUUUCAUUUUCCUCUGUCAAAGGAGAUUAAGGUAUAUCUCCUUGAGUAUGACUGCUACUCCUGUCCUCCAUGGAAGCCCAUAUAUAGCAAUUCCAUAGGGAUCUAGAACACUAUGAUGGGAGAAAGCCAAGAAAUACAGGACAGCGAAAUGGAGGGGCUCCAAAAUGAUCUGGCCCAAGGCCUCUCUCAAUUGAAUUUUGCAACUCUCUAGGAUGUGGGGCCAAGGUCAUUCCUACUCCAGAUGCAACAGAGGGAAGGGCCGGGGCAGGAAGUUUCCAUGGGCAGACACCUGCUGUUUGAAACAGCAGUGGAUAAUCAAGGGAAGAGCCGUGGAGCUCCAGC
Passer domesticus (house sparrow) is the source of this 9715-nucleotide long non-coding RNA. RefSeq lists it as uncharacterized. Lineage: Eukaryota; Metazoa; Chordata; Aves; Passeriformes; Passeridae. The record is from RefSeq and is a predicted model, not a curated record. The transcript has 6 exons.